RNAcentral lists this transfer RNA (73 nucleotides) under Bos taurus (domestic cattle). It matches the Rfam family "tRNA". Rfam says of the family: Transfer RNA (tRNA) molecules are approximately 80 nucleotides in length. The record is from Rfam by way of RNAcentral. Lineage: Eukaryota; Metazoa; Chordata; Mammalia; Artiodactyla; Bovidae. RNAcentral also lists the same sequence under 4 other names.
UCCCUGAUGGUCCAGUGGCUAAGACUCCGAGCUCCCAAUGCAGGGGGCCUGGGUUUGAUCCCUGGUCAGGGAA